AAAAAUCAGUUGAAAAAGUCAAAAAAUUGAAAAAAGAUGAAAUCCAAUAAAAAUUUUAAAAAAUAUUCAGCGGGUUGAAUUUGGUGCCCAAACUUUCCAAAUCAAAAAUUCAAUAUUUAAGGACAUUCCAGAUUUAAUUUCGUGAUUUUUUGAUAUCGGGAACACCUCGAACGAAGUUGUAAAGUUACUCCGCAGUUUUUCGAGUUUUUCAAUUUCAACAAUUUUUAUUAAUUCUUAGCUGUAGGUUUUCAUUUGUUUGCUUUUAUUCUCCCUUUACAAUAUCUAACACCUUUUUGUUUCUUGUGUUAGUAGGAUUUAAACGUGUGCACAAUUUUUCCUCGGUGCAACACGAAUCAAUUGGUAUCUCGUCAGUUUUUGGCAUCCUAUUGCAAAUUAGGAUUCUUUGGUAGUUUUGGUUCAUACACUUUCUAAUUGAUUGAUAGAGACUUUACUAAAGAACUCACAAGAUUGAAUUCUAACUCAUUGAGAAUUUGAUUUUCUUUUGAGUGAUUAACGGUGAGGUUUGCUUACUUUCCCUUUUGAGUGUUGAGUGUUUAUUUUACAGAUUUUUGAAAAUGUCUAAGAUUGGUCAAUGUGAUAAUGACCAUAAUAAUGUCCAUGAUAAACUUAAAAUGAUCCAACAACAGUUAGACGAACGGGCUGCCAUACUUCGAAUAUUGAGUGCUACUAUCAAUGAGAUGCGGGUGGAGCAAAGAGUCCAACGAGGACAACUUAAUUCAAGUGAAAGGGCAAAAAUGAGAGUGCCAAAAAGACGAACAUCCAACGAAUAUUCGAAAACAGAUUCCUAUGACUCCCAUUCAAUGAGGAAUUCAAGGCGAUGUAAAGCAAGUUUCGAGAGUGAAGUUUUUCAAGGGGAUCAUUGUUCGUAUACAAGUCAUUCCGUACAUACCCAACGAUAGCCUUUCCGUUCUAAUUCAUUUGUAACAUCUCUAUCUUGUAAUGAAAGGAAGACACAAAAAGAAAUCAAAAAAGAAAAAGAGAAGGAAAAAGAGCAAAAAGAGAUUGAGAGUGGAAAGGAAUGUGAAACAAACAAUAAAAUUGAAAAAAAAAUUGAAGAAACAAAUGAAAAAGACGAGGAAAGGGUAGUGAGGAAUGUUUCCACUAACCAAGAUAGGAAUUUUUCUUCUGUUGCUACUUUUCAGGUUCCCAAAAUACCGAAAGAUAACUUUCAACUUUAAUACCUUUCCGAUGAAAGACGCUUUCAUACGAUCAACAUAGGCAAGGUUGAAGAUGAAAUCACACUACAUGAGCCCGAAGGUAAGCGAGGUAAGGAAAUUUUAGCCACUGAGUCCCAUGCAGAUUUGAAAAGAGAUUCCUAUGACUCCCAUUCAAUGAGGAAUUCAAGGCAAUGCAAAGCAAGUUUCGAGAGUGAAGUUUUCCAAGGGGAUCAUUGUUCGUAUACAAGUCAUUCCGUACAUACCCAACGAGAGCCUUUCCGUUCUAAUUCAUUUGUAACAUCUCUAUCUUGUAAUGAAAGGAAGACACAAAAAGAAAUCAAAAAAGAAAAAGAGAAGGAAAAAGAGCAAAAAGAGAUUGAAAGUGGAAAGGAAUGUGAAACAAACAAUAAAAUUGAAAAAAAAAUUGAAGAAAUAAAUGAAAAAUACGAGGAAAGGGUAGUGAGGAAUGUUUCCACUAACCAAGAUAGGAAUUUUUCUUCUGUUGCUACUUUUCAGGUUCUCAAAAUAUCGAAAGAUAACUUUCAACUUUAAUACCUUUCCGAUGAAAGACGCUUUCAUACGAUCAACAUAGGCAAGGUUGAAGAUGAAAUCACACUACAUGAGCCCGAAGGUAAGCGAGGUAAGAAAAUUUUAGCCACUGAGUCCCGUGCAGAUUUGAAAAGAGAUUCCUAUGACUCCCAUUCAAUGAGGAAUUCAAGGCGAUGCAAAGCAAGUUUCGAGAGUGAAGUUUUCCAAGGGGAUCAUUGUUCGUAUACAAGUCAUUCCGUACAUACCCAACGAUAGCCUUUCCGUUCUAAUUCAUUUGUAACAUCUCUAUCUUGUAAUGAAAGGAAGACACAAAAAGAAAUCAAAAAAGAAAAAGAGAAGGAAAAAGAGCAAAAAGAGAUUGAAAGUGGAAAGGAAUGUGAAACAAACAAUAAAAUUGAAAAAGAAUUUGAAGAAACAAAUGAAAAAGACGAGGAAAGGGUAGUGAGAAAUGUUUCCACUAACCAAGAUAGGAAUUUUU
Molecule: long non-coding RNA, 2205 nt
Filed under: Gossypium barbadense (sea-island cotton)
Lineage: Eukaryota; Viridiplantae; Streptophyta; Magnoliopsida; Malvales; Malvaceae
Description: long non-coding RNA (GBAR_LNC021706)
Source: RNAcentral